GAUGAACGCUGGCGGCGUGCCUAAUACAUGCAAGUCGAGCGAACAGACGAGGAGCUUGCUCCUCUGACGUUAGCGGCGGACGUGUGAGUAACACGUGGAUAACCUCCCUAUAUUUCUGGGAUAACUUCGGGAAUCCGGCGCUAAUCCCGGAUAAUAUAUUGAUCCGCAUGGUUCAUUAGUGAAAGACGGUUUUGCUGUCUCUUCUAGAUGGUUCCGCGCCGCUUUAGCUAGUUGGUAAGGUAACGGCUUACCAAGGCGACGAUGCGUAGCCGACGUGAGAGGGGGAUAGGCGACACGGGAAGGGGGACAGGGUCAAGAGUACUAAGGGAGGGAGCAGAAGGGAAUCGGCGGCAAUGGGCGAAAGCCUGACGGAGCAAGGCCGCGUGAGAGAUGAAGGUGUUCGGAUCGUAAAAAUCGGUUAUGAGGGAAGAACAAAUGUGGAAGGAAAUAUGCAGGGAUUGACGGUAACGAAUAAGAAAGCAACGGCUAACUACGUG
Molecule: ribosomal RNA, 497 nt
Filed under: uncultured bacterium
Lineage: Bacteria
Description: partial 16S ribosomal RNA
Rfam family: Bacterial small subunit ribosomal RNA
Source: RNAcentral